AACAAUCGUGUUAGCCUGCUGAGUUAAAGCCUAGAACCAUAACAGUGUUAGCCUGCUGAGUUAAAGCCUAGAACCAUGACAGUGUUAGCCUGCUGAGUUAAAGCCUAGAACCAUAACAGUGUUAGCCUGCUGAGUUAAAGCCUAGAACCAUAACAGUGUUAGCCUGCUGAGUUAAAGCCUAGAACCAUAACAGUGUUAGCCUGCUGAGUUUAAAGCCUAGAACCAUAACAGUGUUAGCCUGCUGAGUUAAAGCCUAUAACCAUGACAGUGUUAGCCUGCUGAGUUAAAGACUAGAACCAUAACAGUGUUAGCCUGCUGAGUUAAAGCCUAGAACCAUGACAGUGUUAGCCUGCUGAGUUAAAGACUAGAACCAUAACAGUGUUAGCCUGCUGAGUUAAAGACUAGAACCAUAACAGUGUUAGCCUGCUGAGUUAAAGCCUAGAACCAUAACAGUGUUAGCCUGCUGAGUUAAAGCCUAGAACCAUAACAGUGUUAGCCUGCUGAUUUAAAGCCUAGAACCAUAACAGUGUUAGCCUGCUGAGUUAAAGCCUAGAACCCUAACAGUGUUAGUAGCCUGCUUAGUUUAAAGACUAGAUGAUCUAGAACCAUUAGCUCAGGGGGGACGCUAAUUCAAGUAUUCGGGUCUUAGGGAAGGUUACUCAUCAUCACAAACUGAUAGAUAGUGUAGCUAGCUCCUCUGAGAAGAUAAGACAUGACAAAAUAAACUUAGUUGAAAUUUAGAGUUGCUGCAUCCAUGUGGAAUAUCACAUAAAACAAUAUCAAAUCACAAUAAGACAAGUGCAAAACUCAGAGAGAAUUACUUAAACUACGCAACCAGCGCAUUGAACUCGUUGAGAACACCGAUUGGCUAAUGGCAAACAUGCUAUCAUGCUCGUAAAAACAAAUUAUAGUGUUCAACAAACGUAAAUAGAUGCUGUUAUCAAGGUCAUUUCCUUAGUAGUGUUAGAGGUCAUGUGGGAACAGGCGGAGCUCAGCGAUGACAGACGGGCUUCCUACUAGUAAACGAGUUGGAGGGGGUUCACGGGGGUUCUUCCUACUAGUAAUAUGAGUUGGAGGGGGUUCUUCCUACUAGUAAUAUGAGUUGGAGGGGGUUCUUCCUACUAGUAAUAUGAGUUGGAGGGGGUUCUUCCUACUAGUAAUACGAGUUGGAGGGGGUUCUUCCUACUAGUAAUAUGAGUUGGAGGGGGUUCUUCCUACUAGUAAUAUGAGUUGGAGGGGGUUCUUCCUACUAGUAAUAUGAGUUGGAGGGGGUUCUUCCUACUAGUAAUAUGAGUUGGAGGGGGUUCUUCCUACUAGUAAUACGAGUUGGAGGGGGUUCUUCCUACUAGUAAUAUGAGUUGGAGGGGGUUCUUCCUACUAGUAAUAUGAGUUGGAGGGGGUUCUUCCUACUAGUAAUAUGAGUUGGAGGGGGUUCUUCCUACUAGUAAUAUGAGUUGGAGGGGGUUCUUCCUACUAGUAAUAUGAGUUGGAGGGGGUUCUUCCUACUAGUAAUAUGAGUUGGAGGGGGUUCUUCCUACUAGUAAUAUGAGUUGGAGGGGGUUCUUCCUACUAGUAAUAUGAGUUGGAGGGGGUUCUUCCUACUAGUAAUAUGAGUUGGAGGGGGUUCUUCCCAGUCAUAUGCUUGUAUUUAUGAGAUGUCAUGAAUCAGCAUCACACAAAAAUAGUGCAAUGGUUCAAAGAAUCUCUGCGGUAAUAUGUUUGUGUGUGUGUUAUGUGUGUGUGUUAUGUGUGUGUGUUAUGUGUGUGUGUUAUGUGUGUGUGUUAUGUGUGUGUGUUAUGUGUGUGUGUUAUGUGUGUGUGUUAUGUGUGUGUGUUAUGUGUGUGUGUGUUAUGUGUGUGUGUGUUAUGUGUGUGUGUUAUGUGUGUGUGUUAUGUGUGUGUGUUAUGUGUGUGUGUGU
Long non-coding RNA from Oncorhynchus keta (chum salmon), 1919 nucleotides. RefSeq lists it as uncharacterized. NCBI's taxonomy places the organism in Eukaryota, Metazoa, Chordata, Actinopteri, Salmoniformes, Salmonidae. The record is from RefSeq and is a predicted model, not a curated record. The transcript has 3 exons.